RNAcentral lists this long non-coding RNA (334 nucleotides) under Homo sapiens (human). RNAcentral describes it as "non-protein coding lnc-ADCY2-3:3". Lineage: Eukaryota; Metazoa; Chordata; Mammalia; Primates; Hominidae. The record is from RNAcentral.
UAGAAUUUCUGGAUCAAUUUGGAAACUAAGACUAGAAAAGAUCUGUGUUUCGUCAUCUGGAACCCAGGGAGAGGGUGAGGCACGUGGAGUUCCUUGACCCCUCAUCUUGCUGAAGCAGCAAGCAUGGGAAAAGAUCUGUGUUUCGUCAUCUGGAACCCAGGGAGAGGGUGAGGCACGUGGAGUUCCUUGACCCCUCAUCUUGCUGAAGCAGCAAGCAUGGGUGAGUGCAGAGAAGCCUCACGCACUCUUGGGCUACCAAGAGCUGUGCCAACACUGUUGUGUAAGUUGGCCAGAGAGGAACCCUGUAUACUGGACACUAAGUUUUUUACUUCUU